RNAcentral lists this ribosomal RNA (422 nucleotides) under uncultured bacterium. RNAcentral describes it as "bacterial SSU rRNA". It matches the Rfam family "Bacterial small subunit ribosomal RNA", at positions 32 to 500 of the family's 1533-position model. The record is from RNAcentral.
AACGCUGGCGGCGUGCUUAACACAUGCAAGUCGAACGAACCUUCGGGUUAGUGGCGGACGGGUGAGUAACGCGUGAGAAUCUGCCCUCAGGAGGGGGAUAACAGCUGGAAACGGCUGCUAAUACCCCAUAUGCCGCGAGGUGAAAUGAAUUUCGCCUGAGGAUGAGCUCGCGUCUGAUUAGCUAGUUGGUGUGGGUAAUGGCUCACCAAGGCAUCGAUCAGUAGCUGGUCUGAGAGGAUGAUCAGCCACACUGGGACUGAGACACGGCCCAGACUCCUACGGGAGGCAGCAGUGGGGAAUUUUCCGCAAUGGGCGAAAGCCUGACGGAGCAACGCCGCGUGAGGGAUGAAGGCCUCUGGGCUGUAAACCUCUUUUAUCAAGGAAGAAGAUCUGACGGUACUUGAUGAAUAAGCCACGGCUAA